AUUGAACGCUGGCGGCAUGCUUUACACAUGCAAGUCGAACGGCAGCGCGGGCUUUGGCCUGGCGGCGAGAGUCGCACGGGUGAGUAAUGCAUCGGAACGUGCCCCGUAGUGGGGGAUAGCCCCUCGAAAGCAGGAUUAAUAACGCCUACUACCUGUAGGUGUUAGAUGGCGACUGCAAAGCCUCUCGCUAUUGGUGACUCCGAUGUCGGAUUAGCUAGUUGGUGGGGGAAAGGGUUACCAAGGCGCACAUCCGUAACUGGUCAUAGAGGACGACCAGCCACACUGGGACGGGGACACGGCCCAGACUCCUACGGGAGGAGGCAGAGGGGAAUUUUGGACAAGGGGGGAAACCCUGAUGCAGACAUGCGGCGGGGUGGAAGAAGUCUUUCGGGUUGUAAGCUGCGUUGGAUGGGGAAGAAAUCCGCGGGGCUAAUACCCCGGGGGGAUGACGGUACCGGAAGAAUAAGCACCGGCUAACUACGUG
RNAcentral lists this ribosomal RNA (484 nucleotides) under uncultured bacterium. RNAcentral describes it as "partial 16S ribosomal RNA". It matches the Rfam family "Bacterial small subunit ribosomal RNA", at positions 29 to 507 of the family's 1533-position model. The record is from RNAcentral.